Molecule: ribosomal RNA, 468 nt
Filed under: uncultured bacterium
Lineage: Bacteria
Description: partial 16S ribosomal RNA
Rfam family: Bacterial small subunit ribosomal RNA
Source: RNAcentral
GACGAACGCUGGCGGCGGGCUUAACACAUGCAAGUCGAACGGAAAGGCCCUGCUUUUGUGGGGUGCUCGAGUGGCGAACGGGUGAGUAACACGUGAGUAACCUGCCCUUGACUGUGGGAUAACUUCAGGAAACUGGGGCUAAUACCGGAUAGGAGCUCCUGCUGCAUGGUGGGGGUUGGAAAGUUUCGGCGGUUGGGGAUGGACUCGCGGCUUAUCAACUUGUUGGUGGGGUAGUGGCUUACCAAGGCUUUGACGGGUAGCCGGCCUGAGAGGGUGACCGGCCACCUUGGGCCUGAGAUACGGCCCAGACUCCUACGGGAGGCAGCAGUGGGGAAUAUUGCACAAUGGGCGGAAGCCUGAUGCAGCAACGCCGCGUGCGGGAUGACGGCCUUCGGGCUGUAAACCGCUUUCGCCUGUGACGAAGCGUGAGUGACGGUAAUGGGUAAAGAAGCACCGGCUAACUACGUG